AAUUAAUCUCUAUGUGUUUAUGUCUGUUUUCCAGACUGAGGAAGCUUUUGUGGAGGAGCUCCUUAUUGCCGAGGAGCCAAUUGCUGAGGAGCCUGAGGUCGGGGCCAACCCAGUUCAGGUUGAGAUCGAAGAGUUUGAUGAGGCCAUCGACAUUUUUGAGGAGG
Notothenia coriiceps (black rockcod) is the source of this 164-nucleotide long non-coding RNA. RefSeq lists it as uncharacterized. The record is from RefSeq and is a predicted model, not a curated record. NCBI's taxonomy places the organism in Eukaryota, Metazoa, Chordata, Actinopteri, Perciformes, Nototheniidae. The transcript has 2 exons.